GCCUGGCUGCCGGGUCCUUUCAUGUACGGCAGUAUGAUUGAUAGCACCUGCAUCCUAUGGGGAAAGAAGUGUGGAGCCAAAGCAGCCUGCCAAUAUUAUAAUACCGAUCUGCUGAGGCAAAGGUACAUCGGCUUGCAUAU
Molecule: long non-coding RNA, 140 nt
Organism: Bufo bufo (common toad)
Lineage: Eukaryota; Metazoa; Chordata; Amphibia; Anura; Bufonidae
Exons: 3
Source: RefSeq, a predicted model, not a curated record